UGACCUAAUGGUCGGUGGUGAGCU
This 24-nucleotide non-coding RNA is filed under the name Arabidopsis thaliana (thale cress). The record is from RNAcentral. Lineage: Eukaryota; Viridiplantae; Streptophyta; Magnoliopsida; Brassicales; Brassicaceae.